UACGUAGGGGGCAAGCGUUGUCCGGAUUUAUUGGGCGUAAAGAGCGUGUAGGCGGUUAGGUAGGUCCGUUGUGAAAACCCGAGGCUCAACCUCGAGACGUCGGUUGAAACCAUCUGGCUAGAGUCCGGAAGAGGAGAGUGGAAUUCCCGGUGUAGCGGUGAAAUGCGCAGAUAUCGGGAAGAACACCCGUGGCGAAGGCGGCUCUCUGGGACGGUACUGACGCUGAGACGCGAAAGCGUGGGGAGCGAACAGG
RNAcentral lists this ribosomal RNA (253 nucleotides) under uncultured bacterium. RNAcentral describes it as "partial 16S ribosomal RNA". It matches the Rfam family "Bacterial small subunit ribosomal RNA", at positions 524 to 776 of the family's 1533-position model. The record is from RNAcentral.